UACGAAGGGGGCGAGCAUUGUUCGGAAUUACUGGGCGUAAAGGGUGCGUAGGCGGAUAAGUUAGUCAGAUGUGAAAGCCCGAGGCUUAACCUUGGAAUUGCAUUUGAUACUGCUAAUCUAGAAUAGUGAAGAGGAGAGUAGAAUUCCCAGUGUAGAGGUGAAAUUCGUAGAGAUUGGGAAGAAUACCAGUGGCGUAGGCGACUCUCUGGUCACAUAUUGACGCUG
Molecule: ribosomal RNA, 225 nt
Filed under: uncultured prokaryote
Description: partial 16S ribosomal RNA
Rfam family: Bacterial small subunit ribosomal RNA
Source: RNAcentral